GGUUAAGCGAACAAGCGUACACGGUGGAUGCCCUGGCAGUCAGAGGCGAUGAAGGACGUGCUAAUCUGCGAAAAGCGCCGGUAAGGUGAUAUGAACCGUUAUAACCGGCGAUGUCCGAAUGGGGAAACCCGGUGCACUUCGGUGCAUCAUCGUUAGCUGAAUACAUAGGCUAACGAGGCGAACCGGGGGAACUGAAACAUCUAAGUACCCCGAGGAAAAGAAAUCAACCGAGAUUCCCCCAGUAGCGGCGAGCGAACGGGGAACAGCCCAGAGCCUGAAUCAGCUUGUGUGUCAGUGGAACGGUCUGGAAAGGCCGGCGAUACAGGGUGACAGCCCCGUACACGAAGGCACACAGGCUGUGAGCUCGAUGAGUAGGGCGGGACACGUGAUAUCCUGUCUGAAGAUGGGGGGACCAUCCUCCAAGGCUAAAUACUCCUGACUGACCGAUAGUGAACCAGUACCGUGAGGGAAAGGCGAAAAGAACCCCGGCGAGGGGAGUGAAACAGAACCUGAAACCGUGUACGUACAAGCAGUGGGAGCCUUCGUAAGAGGGUGACUGCGUACCUUUUGUAUAAUGGGUCAGCGACUUAUAUUCUGUAGCAAGGUUAACCGUAUAGGGGAGCCGAAGGGAAACCGAGUCUUAACCGGGCGUUAAGUUGCAGGGUAUAGACCCGAAACCCGGUGAUCUAGCCAUGGGCAGGUUGAAGGUUGGGUAACACUAACUGGAGGACCGAACCGACUAAUGUUGAAAAAUUAGCGGAUGACCUGUGGCUGGGGGUGAAAGGCCAAUCAAACCGGGAGAUAGCUGGUUCUCCCCGAAAGCUAUUUAGGUAGCGCCUCGUGAA
RNAcentral lists this ribosomal RNA (845 nucleotides) under Cronobacter sakazakii. RNAcentral describes it as "partial 23S ribosomal RNA". It matches the Rfam family "Bacterial large subunit ribosomal RNA", at positions 1 to 888 of the family's 2925-position model. The record is from RNAcentral. Lineage: Bacteria; Pseudomonadati; Pseudomonadota; Gammaproteobacteria; Enterobacterales; Enterobacteriaceae.